GUGCUUACUUUGGCAGCACAUAUAGUAAAAUUGGAACAUACAGAGAAGAUUAGCAUGGCACCUGCAUAAAGAUGACACACAAAUUUGUGAAAUGCUCCAUAUCCAA
Small nuclear RNA from Dipodomys spectabilis (banner-tailed kangaroo rat), 106 nucleotides. NCBI's taxonomy places the organism in Eukaryota, Metazoa, Chordata, Mammalia, Rodentia, Heteromyidae. The record is from RefSeq and is a predicted model, not a curated record.